RNAcentral lists this ribosomal RNA (864 nucleotides) under Triticum aestivum (bread wheat). RNAcentral describes it as "partial small subunit ribosomal RNA". Lineage: Eukaryota; Viridiplantae; Streptophyta; Magnoliopsida; Poales; Poaceae. The record is from RNAcentral.
AUGGCCGGUGGCGUCGACCGCCUAUCUGAUCUCCCCGACGAGCUCCUCCUGCGCGUUCUCCGCUUCGUCCCAGCCAAGCAGGCCGCCGCCACGGCCGCGCUCUCGCGGCGAUGGCGCUCGCCGCUCUGCCGCUCCUCCGGCGCCCUGAACCUCGAGACGUUCGUCGAGGGCUACGAGUACGACGACGACUACAGCUCCCGGUACGGACGAGACGAGCGCAAAGAAGCCGCCAAGGCCCUCUUCUUCUCCCGCCGCGACGUCUUCGUGUCCGCGGCCGUGGCGGCGCUCGACGCCGCCGACGUCCCCGUCACGAGGCUCGCCCUGCGCCUAGGGUACAAAUACCUCGACUCGAUCUGGAUGUUCCUGGACCUGGACCCUGACAGGGUCCACGGGUCGCCGCCGCGGGACGGCUACGUGCUCGCCAGCCUGCUCUCCCACCAGGCGGCGCGCCGCGUGGAGGAGCUCCGUCUCGUCGACGUCGAAUACGACGGCAGCCGCGGCCGCAUCCACGACCGCCAGGAGGGCGAGGUCGAUGUCGCUCUCUCCUUUGGUGGUCUGGUGGGCGUCUUCGUGCUCAGCAUCGGCGCCCUGCCGUCCGAGAACCUCCGCGUGCUGGACCUCGCCAACUGUUGCGAACUCGUCCCGCCGGCCGCUCCCGUCGUGUUCCCGCGGCUCUCGUCGCUACGGAUGCGCCAUUGCACCACGCGGCUCGACACCCUCCAGAGCCUCAUCGACGCCGCGCCGGCGCUCGCCGACGUCUGCCUGGAGUCCGUCGUCGUCGCCCAACAUGACGACCGAUGCCGGCCACCUCAAAAAGCCCAGCUCCGCUUCCCGGCGGCCACCGUGCUCGUCCUGGAGAGGUAA